RNAcentral lists this ribosomal RNA (484 nucleotides) under uncultured bacterium. Its description in RNAcentral is "bacterial SSU rRNA". It matches the Rfam family "Bacterial small subunit ribosomal RNA", at positions 32 to 524 of the family's 1533-position model. The record is from RNAcentral.
AAUCAACGCUGGCGGCGUGCCUCAGACAUGCAAGUCGAACGAUUAAAGCUCUCUUCGGAGAGUGUAUAGAGUGGCGCACGGGUGAGUAACACGUAAGUAAUCUACCUUCGAGUGGGGAAUAACGUCCGGAAACGGACGCUAAUACCGCAUAAUGCAGCGGCAUCGCAAGAUGACAGUUGUUAAAGAAUUUAUUCGCUUGAAGAGGAGCUUGCGGCAGAUUAGCUAGUUGGUAAGGUAAUGGCUUACCAAGGCUACGAUCUGUAACCGGUCUAAGAGGACGGUCGGUCACACUGACACUGAAUAACGGGUCAGACUCCUACGGGAGGCAGCAGUCGGGAAUUUUGGGCAAUGGGCGAAAGCCUGACCCAGCAACGCCGCGUGAAGGAUGAAGUAUUUCGGUAUGUAAACUUCGAAAGAAUGGGAAGAAUCAAUGACGGUACCAUUUAUAAGGUCCGGCUAACUACGUGCCAGCAGCCGCCGCGGU